This 497-nucleotide ribosomal RNA is filed under the name uncultured bacterium. Its description in RNAcentral is "partial 16S ribosomal RNA". It matches the Rfam family "Bacterial small subunit ribosomal RNA", at positions 28 to 507 of the family's 1533-position model. The record is from RNAcentral.
GAUGAACGCUGGCGGCGUGCCUAAUACAUGCAAGUCGAGCGAACGGACGAGAAGCUUGCUUCUCUGAUGUUAGCGGCGGACGGGUGACUAACACGUGGAUAACCUACCUAUAAGACUGGGAUAACUUCGGGAAACCGGAGCUAAUACCGGAUGAUAUUUUGAACCGCAUGGUUCAAAAGUGAAAGACGGUCUUGCUGUCACUUAUAGAUGGAUCCGCGCUGCAUUAGCUAGUUGGUAAGGUAACGGCUUACCAAGGCAACGAUGCAUAGCCGACCUGAGAGGGUGAUCGGCCACACUGGAACUGAGACACGGUCCAGACUCCUACGGGAGGCAGCAGUAGGGAAUCUUCCGCAAUGGGCGAAAGCCUGACGGAGCAACGCCGCGUGAGUGAUGAAGGUCUUCGGAUCGUAAAACUCUGUUAUUAGGGAAGAACAUAUGUGUAAGUAACUGUGCACAUCUUGACGGUACCUAAUCAGAAAGCCACGGCUAACUACGUG